UACGUAGGUGGCAAGCGUUGUCCGGAUUUACUGGGCGUAAAGCGCGCGCAGGCGGACUGAUCAGUCUGGGGUGAAAUCUCCCGGCUCAACUGGGAGCGGUCCCUGGAUACUGUCAGUCUUGAGAGACCUAGAGGAGAGCGGAAUUCCCGGUGUAGUGGUGGAAUGCGUAGAUAUCGGGAAGAACACCAGUGGCGAAAGCGGCGCGCUGGACCUCUUCUGACGCUGAGGCGCGAAAGCCAGGGGAGCGAACGGG
RNAcentral lists this ribosomal RNA (253 nucleotides) under uncultured bacterium. RNAcentral's name for it is "partial 16S ribosomal RNA". It matches the Rfam family "Bacterial small subunit ribosomal RNA", at positions 524 to 776 of the family's 1533-position model. The record is from RNAcentral.